CAUACAUCCUUUCCGCGGGAAUUUAUUUCUGGUUCUCACAAGGCGUUUCUGCUCCCCGGCAGAGCAGGCCUUGCUUCUCGGCGCUCUCUGCUCGCGCUCUCCGCAGCCUCCUCUUCGCGGCUUGAACCGAGACUUGGGAACAGAAAUCGAAACGGUCACGGCCCUCCGGGGCGCGCGGCUCGGGGCGCGCGGGUCCGGCCGGGGUCGGGCGAGCCCACGGCCCGCGGGCGCGCCGCUCCGGGGAGGCCCCAAGCCACCGGUUGCGGCGGCCGCUCCCCGCUGCCCGCUGCCCGCUGCCCGCUCCCCGCUCCCCGCUCCCCCCGCGGCGCAGAGGCCACCUCGGGCCUCCGAAGUUCGCACCGCGGCGCGGGCAGCGCGCGCCCCCCCCCACCGCGGCCCGCGGCCCCGGAACCCCGGCCCCCGGGCCCCCCGGCCCCGCUGCGGGUUCGCGCCCGGGCCCCGGAGCGAGCCCGGGGGGCGGGUCCGCGGGGGCUCGGCGGGCGGGAGCGCGGGGAGGGGCGCGCGGCGGGGAACUUGGGCGCCUCCGGCACCGCCGCCCCGCCACUUCCCUUUCACGCCCGCGGGGCCGCCGCGCACCGCGCCGCCCGCUCGCCCGCCCGCCCGCCCGGGGCCGCUCUCCGCCGCGCCGAGGCGCCCAGGCGCGCUCCUGCAGCCCGGCCGGCCGGUGCGCGGGGCCGGGGCCGGGGCCGGGGCCGGGGCCGGGGCCGGGGCCGCGGCCGCGGGGGCGCGCGAGGCCGCGCGCGGGCGCCGCGCUCCCCCCGCCCCGCCCCCGCCCCAACGUGCCGCCGCCGCCGCCGCCGCCGCCCGUUGGCGCCUCCGCCCGCGCGCCCGCCCGCCGCCCGCCGGCCCCGGCCCCGGCCGCUCUCCGCUCGCAAAGUUGCGCGGCCCGCCUCGGAGGGAAGGGGACGGGCGGGGAGGGGAGGGGCGCCGCGCCGCCCCCCGCCGCCGCCCCCCGCCGCCCGCCGCCGCCCGCCGCCGCCGCCGCCCCUCCAGGCCGCCGCGCGCGGGAAGGCCCAGCUGGCCGCCCCGCUUUUUUACCUGCCGGGAGUUUUCGCGCGCGCCCUCGCUCGACCGCUGGCUUUUCCCCCUUCUCGCGCUCCUUUUCUUUCUUUCUUUCCUUCUUUUCGCUUCCCCGCGCGGGCGCUUUCUCCGCUCGCGCCGCCCGCGCCCGCCCGCGCGCGCCCUCCUUCCUGCUGGGCUCGCGGAGCGGGCGGCCGGCAGCUCUCCCCGCCCCCCUCCACCCGCGCUCCGGCGGAGGCGGCGGCGGCGGCGGCGGCGGCGGCGCUCCGCGCUCCGACUCAUUCCAAUAUGGCACGGGCGCACCGCGCAUGCGCCCGCGCCCCCCCACCCGCGCUCUCCCGGCAGCCCGCGCCCCUCGCGCCGCGCGUGUGCCCCCGGCCCGCCGGCCGCCCCCCCGGCCCGCCAGCCGCCCCCCCGCGCCCGCCCCCGCGCCCCGAGCCCCAACUGCCGCCGAGCCCCCGAGGCCGUGGCGCAGGGCACGCGGCGGCGCCUGCGGGGCCCCCGACGGCGCGGACGGGCCCGGCCAGGGAGACGCGCGCGCCCCGCGGCCCCAGCGCCCACCGGUCCGCCCCCCGUUCCCCGAGGCUCGGGGCGGCCGCGCCGCUGCCGUCCGCACGUGACCGCCCCGGGCAAGGCGGCAUGAGCGGGGGAACGGGCGGCGCGGAGCCCCGGCCUCCGCGGGAGGCGCCCGCAGAUGCGAGUGCG
Molecule: long non-coding RNA, 1746 nt
Filed under: Canis lupus familiaris (dog)
Lineage: Eukaryota; Metazoa; Chordata; Mammalia; Carnivora; Canidae
Description: lncRNA (ENSCAFG00845029072.1)
Source: RNAcentral